GACGAACGCUGGCGGCGUGCUUAACACAUGCAAGUCGAACGGAAAGGCCCUGCUUUUGUGGGGUGCUCGAGUGGCGAACGGGUGAGUAACACGUGAGUAACCUGCCCUUGACUUUGGGAUAACUUCAGGAAACUGGGGCUAAUACCGGAUAGGAGCCCCUGCUGCAUGGUGGGGGUUGGAAAGUUUCGGCGGUUGGGGAUGGACUCGCGGCUUAUCAGCUUGUUGGUGGGGUAGUGGCUUACCAAGGCUUUGACGGGUAGCCGGCCUGAGAGGGUGACCGGCCACAUUGGGACUGCGAUACGGCCCAGACUCCUACGGGAGGCAGCAGUGGGGAGUAUUGCACAAUGGGCGGAAGCCUGAUGCAGCAACGCCGCGUGCGGGAUGACGGCCUUCGGGUUGUAAACCGCUUUCGCCUGUGACGAAGCGUGAGUGACGGUAAUGGGUAAAGAAGCACCGGCUAACUACGUG
Molecule: ribosomal RNA, 468 nt
Filed under: uncultured bacterium
Lineage: Bacteria
Description: partial 16S ribosomal RNA
Rfam family: Bacterial small subunit ribosomal RNA
Source: RNAcentral